This is a long non-coding RNA of Ictalurus punctatus (channel catfish), 2543 nucleotides long. RefSeq lists it as uncharacterized. The transcript has 5 exons. NCBI's taxonomy places the organism in Eukaryota, Metazoa, Chordata, Actinopteri, Siluriformes, Ictaluridae. The record is from RefSeq and is a predicted model, not a curated record.
CUCAUGGAGUUAUGCAUGUGUCUCACUGCGCACUACACACACAUCUCUGCAAUCACACACUUCUCCAGCAUGCACACAGGACUGCUCUCUCUGUGGGUGACAGGGGUUUUGUUGCUGCCUCAGUGUUUGGGUUAUACAGAUGAUAGUGAAUUUGAUUAUGCGACACAGACCGCAGGAUACACCGACUAUACAGAUUACUCCUUUGAAUAUGAAUCUGACUAUAAUACAACCAGUAUAAAUUAUGAUAUGUAUGUAACUCCCAAUCAAGGCAAUAAACAUGGAGAAUCCAAUUCAGUAAACGAAGAAGCAGUCCGCGGUGGCAUGAACCCGAUAAAUGAUGAGGCCUCAACAGUGUGUAGAUACUGUGCUGUAGGACUGGGACUUAUAGUGCAACGGUUCUGCCAAUAAACAUGACUGGGAUUUUUACACACACAGCCUGAACAAAGGGCUGAAAGAAUUUGGAUUUUCGGGCACUGCAGGAUGCCAUUUCAGAUGCCCAAGCAGCUUGACCUUUUCUUCAGAGGGUGCACUGUGGGUUCUUUUUAACUGUUCUUUUAAGCAUUUAUUCUGAGUUUUGUAAAACCUUCAUUAAAUAUAAAGUGUACACUGUAGAAUUUGGCCAAGCAAUAGUGACUUAUACAUUGGUUCAUCAAAAAGCCCUAGAAAGAUACACUUACUAUUACCCAUGCCUAAUUCACUUACAUUGUAAGCUAGCCACAUAGGCGUCACAAUGGAUCGUGAGCCUUUUUUUAUUGAAAAAAACCCCAAAACAAAUACAAAACAGAUAUCAGGUACAGAACUUAAUGUAAAGUUGCUGGCAGCAUACAUAGUAAAUUAUAGGGUUGAAUAUUAAUAGCAAAUAUGAAUAUAUUUUUAUUAACAAAUUGGGCAGAAUUCCACCUCCAUUUUUUUUAAAAAGAACAAUCAAUCAUGUAAUUGUAUGCAAACAAAUGUUUUUACACAACUUUAAAGCAUCAAACAUUUCAUUUUGGAAGCACCAACCUCUCAUUCAGACUUUGUAAAUCAAACAGAGUUGGAUAUAGAGAGAUUGAUGGAGAGAUAGAAAUAAAGCAGAAUGAUUUUUUAUAUUAAUUGUUAUAAUGAUGUUAGGGAGAAAACAAUUAUUACCGUGAUGUUACAGAAAACAAACAAACAAUAUCCAAUAUUACCGCAUGAGUGUAGAACACUCAUUUUUAAGCUGUUUGGCAAUCUCUUUGGCAUAAAAAACACACAAUUUGCUUAUACUCUUACAAAAAACGGUUCCUUAAGGGAUCAGUUUGCUUACACUCUCACAAAAAGGUCCUUCACUCCCUAAAGAGCUUUACUUGAAACCCUGUCUAUGAAGAAAACUCUGUUGUAGGGUUCUAUAAAGAAAUUUUAAGAAUUCCCUUAGAGUGACAAAAAAGAACCCCACAAUGAACAUUAAAUCACAGUUGUGGUAAAAAGAAAACCAAAAAUAAUUUCCUUUGAUUGCAAAUAUUUCACCCCCCCCCCCCCCCCCCCCCCCCAAGACAGAUUUACCACUCUUGCCUUGGCACAUUGGUAAUUUUUUAUUAAUUCACCUGAAGCGAUUAUCAGAAAAGGCUCUGCAGGCUUAUGCUAUUUUAUAGUCAGGUUUGAUCUUGUUUUGACUUGUUGACAAGAAUGAAAGCAAAGCACAGCUUUCGUUCUCUCUGAUUCUAUGUGAAAUUUUAGACAAAUGUUUAAAAACAACCCCUGUAUUUUUGUCCAAUCUGUCACAUGAACAGAAGCACAUUUUAAGCUGAAAGACUUGUUUUUGUCUGACUCUUGCAAGCCUUUGAUAUGUAUCAUUUUAGGAUUUUAUAUCUAAAUUUCAGAUGUGGGUAACGUUGCUGAAAGCUUUCCUCAAAUAAUCCCUACUGCUUGCAAAAAACAAUUAUAUCUUAAAUCCCUAAUUUAGGAGUAACUAUGGUAACUAGUUGAUGGUAACUAGAGUCAGCUGGUGUCCAAUAACCUUCACAUUGCAUUUGGAAGAGAGACAGAGAGAGAGACAGAGAGAGAGAGAGAGAGAGAGAGAGAGAGAACACCACCACAGCACUGCUACAAUACCCACCACAUACAAUCAUUAUUAAAGUCCCUUACUGCAGACAUGUAAUAAACAAAUAAAGGAAUUAUGCCUUGGGACAUAACAAUAUAAAAUGAGUAGAUUUUCAGUAGCCAUUCAGUAUAAAUAAGAGAUUAGUUAGUAUAUAUUAUUAUACUAACAUGAAUUACAGAAGAUAAUAAAAAAAGUUCAGCAUGACUAAAUCUCUGCCACAUUGUGAAGGGUAUUCUGUUUUUUUUCUUCUUUCAGUGAAUCAGAUCAUUUAACUAAGCUCACUGGUAAUAGAUGACUCCCAAAUAGCUCAGUGCCAUUUUUUAGUUUAAACUUAAUAAAUGUUGUGAUAUCAUGACAGUGAUUGUUAUUUCUUUGUUGCAUGGAAUCUUGUUUUACCUUCUAAUGGAAGAAAUAACAUUGUUUUGCAUAGAAUUUUGAAUCAGGUGCUACAAAUGUGCAUUAAAAAAUACUGGCUUUCACUGCA